RNAcentral lists this ribosomal RNA (469 nucleotides) under uncultured bacterium. RNAcentral describes it as "partial 16S ribosomal RNA". It matches the Rfam family "Bacterial small subunit ribosomal RNA", at positions 28 to 508 of the family's 1533-position model. The record is from RNAcentral.
GACGAACGCUGGCGGCGUGCUUAACACAUGCAAGUCGAACGGAAAGGCCCUGCUUUUGUGGGGUGCUCGAGUGGCGAACGGGUGAGUAACACGUGAGUAACCUGCCCUUGACUUUGGGAUAACUUCAGGAAAUUGGGGCUAAUACCGGAUAGGAGCUCCUGCUGCAUGGAGGGGGUUGGAAAGUUUCGGCGGUUGGGGAUGGACUCGCGGCUUAUCAGCUUGUUGGUGGGGUAGUGGCUUACCAAGGCUUUGACGGGUAGCCGGCCUGAGAGGGUGACCGGCCACAUUGGGACUGAGAUACGGCCCAGACUCCUACGGGAGGCAGCAGUGGGGAAUAUUGCACAAUGGGCGGAAGCCUGAUGCAGCAACGCCGCGUGCGGGAUGACGGCCUUCGGGUUGUAAACCGCUUUCGCCUGUGACGAAGCGUGAGUGACGGUAAUGGGUAAAGAAGCACCGGCUAACUACGUGC